CUUGGUCAUUUAGAGGAAGUAAAAGUCGUAACAAGGUCUCCGUAGGUGAACCUGCGGAGGGAUCAAUAUCGAACCUGGCCCCCUGGCCACGUCUACCUUGCAAACCCGUGGAAGCGAACCGUGCUUCGGCGCCUCGGCGUCGAGUUUAUGCUGCAGUUGGUAGUUUGCGUCUGAAUCAAACCGAAGAACAUAAAACUUUCAACAGAGGAUCUCUUGGCUCUUGUAUCGAUGAAGAACGCAGCAAAGCGCGAAAUGUAGUGAACAUAGCAGCACAAUUGUGAAUCAUCGAAUCUUUGAACGCACAUUGCGCCUCCGGUAGCUCGGAGGCAUGCCUGUCUGAGCGUCAUUUAAAACCAUGGACCCAGGAUUGGGUCCGUAUUGGGCGUCGCCCCCCUCUCCAGAGUGGCGCGUGGCCUCAAAGACAUUGGUCUCACAUGCGGACGAGCUCCCUUGGGACGGACCGCGUGGAGACCCUAAGCAUCUGACUUUGAUCUCAGAUCAGGUAGGACUACCGCCUGAACUUAAGCAUAUCAAUAAGCGGAGGA
Molecule: ribosomal RNA, 545 nt
Filed under: uncultured Ascomycota
Lineage: Eukaryota; Fungi; Ascomycota
Description: eukaryotic LSU rRNA
Rfam family: 5.8S ribosomal RNA (bases 194-346)
Source: RNAcentral